AGAGUUUGAUCAUGGCUCAGAACGAACGCUGGCGGCAGGCUUAACACAUGCAAGUCGAACGCCCCGCAAGGGGAGUGGCAGACGGGUGAGUAACGCGUGGGAAUCUACCUAGUUCUACGGAACAACAGUUGGAAACGACUGCUAAUACCGUAUACGCCCUAUGGGGGAAAGAUUUAUCGGAAUUAGAUGAGCCCGCGUAAGAUUAGCUAGUUGGUGGGGUAAUGGCCUACCAAGGCGACGAUCUUUAGCUGGUCUGAGAGGAUGAUCAGCCACACUGGGACUGAGACACGGCCCAGACUCCUACGGGAGGCAGCAGUGGGGAAUAUUGGACAAUGGGCGCAAGCCUGAUCCAGCCAUGCCGCGUGAGUGAUGAAGGCCUUAGGGUUGUAAAGCUCUUUCAGUGGGGAAGAUAAUGACGGUACCCACAGAAGAAGCCCCGGCUAACUUCGUGCCAGCCGCCGCGGUAAUUC
Molecule: ribosomal RNA, 470 nt
Filed under: uncultured bacterium
Lineage: Bacteria
Description: bacterial SSU rRNA
Rfam family: Bacterial small subunit ribosomal RNA
Source: RNAcentral